AGUGAACGCUGGCGGUAGGCCUAACACAUGCAAGUCGAACGGCAGCACAGUAAGAGCUUGCUCUUACGGGUGGCGAGUGGCGGACGGGUGAGGAAUACAUCGGAAUCUACUUUUUCGUGGGGGAUAACGUAGGGAAACUUACGCUAAUACCGCAUACGACCUACGGGUGAAAGCAGGGGAUCUUCGGACCUUGCGCGAUUGAAUGAGCCGAUGUCGGAUUAGCUAGUUGGCGGGGUAAAGGCCCACCAAGGCGACGAUCCGUAGCUGGUCUGAGAGGAUGAUCAGCCACACUGGAACUGAGACACGGUCCAGACUCCUACGGGAGGCAGCAGUGGGGAAUAUUGGACAAUGGGCGCAAGCCUGAUCCAGCCAUACCGCGUGGGUGAAGAAGGCCUUCGGGUCGUAAAGCCCUUUUGUUGGGAAAGAAAAGCAGCAGGUUAAUACCCCGCUGUUCUGACGGUACCCAAAGAAUAAGCACCGGCUAACCUCGUG
RNAcentral lists this ribosomal RNA (492 nucleotides) under uncultured bacterium. RNAcentral describes it as "partial 16S ribosomal RNA". It matches the Rfam family "Bacterial small subunit ribosomal RNA", at positions 29 to 507 of the family's 1533-position model. The record is from RNAcentral.